RNAcentral lists this small RNA (118 nucleotides) under Marmota monax (woodchuck). The record is from RNAcentral. Lineage: Eukaryota; Metazoa; Chordata; Mammalia; Rodentia; Sciuridae.
GCAGGGUGAAGUGGUAUGUACCUGUAGCCCCAAGUACUGAGGAGGCUGAGGAAGGAGGAUUGCUUGAACCCAGGAGUUCAGAGUCAGCCUGGGCAACAUAGACAAAACCUAGUCUUUU